AAUAGAACCUGAAACCGUGUGCUUACAAGUAGUCAGAGCCCGUUAAUGGGUGAUGGCGUGCCUUUUGUAGAAUGAACCGGCGAGUUACGAUUUGAUGCAAGGUUAAGCAGUAAAUGUGGAGCCGUAGCGAAAGCGAGUCUGAAUAGGGCGUUUAGUAUUUGGUCGUAGACCCGAAACCAGGUGAUCUACCCUUGGUCAGGUUGAAGUUCAGGUAACACUGAAUGGAGGACCGAACCGACUUACGUUGAAAAGUGAGCGGAUGAACUGAGGGUAGCGGAGAAAUUCCAAUCGAACCUGGAGAUAGCUGGUUCUCUCCGAAAUAGCUUUAGGGCUAGCCUCAAGUGAUGAUUAUUGGAGGUAGAGCACUGUUUGGACGAGGGGCCCCUCUCGGGUUACCGAAUUCAGACAAACUCCGAAUGCCAAUUAAUUUAACUUGGGAGUCAGAACAUGGGUGAUAAGGUCCGUGUUCGAAAGGGAAACAGCCCAGACCACCAGCUAAGGUCCCAAAAUAUAUGUUAAGUGGAAAAGGAUGUGGCGUUGCCCAGACAACUAGGAUGUUGGCUUAGAAGCAGCCAUCAUUUAAAGAGUGCGUAAUAGCUCACUAGUCGAGUGACACUGCGCCGAAAAUGUACCGGGGCUAAACAUAUUACCGAAGCUGUGGAUUGUCCUUUGGACAAUGGUAGGAGAGCGUUCUAAGGGCGUUGAAGCAUGAUCGUAAGGACAUGUGGAGCGCUUAGAAGUGAGAAUGCCGGUGUGAGUAGCGAAAGACGGGUGAGAAUCCCGUCCACCGAUUGACUAAGGUUUCCAGAGGAAGGCUCGUCCGCUCUGGGUUAGUCGGGUCCUAAGCUGAGGCCGACAGGCGUAGGCGAUGGAUAACAGGUUGAUAUUCCUGUACCACCUAUAAUCGUUUUAAUCGAUGGGGGGACGCAGUAGGAUAGGCGAAGCGUGCGAUUGGAUUGCACGUCUAAGCAGUAAGGCUGAGUAUUAGGCAAAUCCGGUACUCGUUAAGGCUGAGCUGUGAUGGGGAGAAGACAUUGUGUCUUCGAGUCGUUGAUUUCACACUGCCGAGAAAAGCCUCUAGAUAGAAAAUAGGUGCCCGUACCGCAAACCGACACAGGUAGUCAAGAUGAGAAUUCUAAGGUGAGCGAGCGAACUCUCGUUAAGGAACUCGGCAAAAUGACCCCGUAACUUCGGGAGAAGGGGUGCUCUUUAGGGUUAACGCCCAGAAGAGCCGCAGUGAAUAGGCCCAAGCGACUGUUUAUCAAAAACACAGGUCUCUGCUAAACCGUAAGGUGAUGUAUAGGGGCUGACGCCUGCCCGGUGCUGGAAGGUUAAGAGGAGUGGUUAGCUUCUGCGAAGCUACGAAUCGAAGCCCCAGUAAACGGCGGCCGUAACUAUAACGGUCCUAAGGUAGCGAAAUUCCUUGUCGGGUAAGUUCCGACCCGCACGAAAGGCGUAACGAUUUGGGCACUGUCUCAACGAGAGACUCGGUGAAAUCAUAGUACCUGUGAAGAUGCAGGUUACCCGCGACAGGACGGAAAGACCCCGUGGAGCUUUACUGUAGCCUGAUAUUGAAAUUCGGCACAGCUUGUACAGGAUAGGUAGGAGCCUUUGAAACGUGAGCGCUAGCUUACGUGGAGGCGCUGGUGGGAUACUACCCUAGCUGUGUUGGCUUUCUAACCCGCACCACUUAUCGUGGUGGGAGACAGUGUCAGGCGGGCAGUUUGACUGGGGCGGUCGCCUCCUAAAAGGUAACGGAGGCGCUCAAAGGUUCCCUCAGAAUGGUUGGAAAUCAUUCAUAGAGUGUAAAGGCAUAAGGGAGCUUGACUGCGAGACCUACAAGUCGAGCAGGGUCGAAAGACGGACUUAGUGAUCCGGUGGUUCCGCAUGGAAGGGCCAUCGCUCAACGGAUAAAAGCUACCCCGGGGAUAACAGGCUUAUCUCCCCCAAGAGUUCACAUCGACGGGGAGGUUUGGCACCUCGAUGUCGGCUCAUCGCAUCCUGGGGCUGUAGUCGGUCCCAAGGGUUGGGCUGUUCGCCCAUUAAAGCGGUACGCGAGCUGGGUUCAGAACGUCGUGAGACAGUUCGGUCCCUAUCCGUCGUGGGCGUAGGAAAUUUGAGAGGAGCUGUCCUUAGUACGAGAGGACCGGGAUGGACAUACCUCUGGUGUACCAGUUGUCGUGCCAACGGCAUAGCUGGGUAGCUAUGUGUGGACGGGAUAAGUGCUGAAAGCAUCUAAGCAUGAAGCCCCCCUCAAGAUGAGAUUUCCCAACUUCGGUUAUAAGAUCCCUCAAAGAUGAUGAGGUUAAUAGGUUCGAGGUGGAAGCAUGGUGACAUGUGGAGCCGACGAAUACUAAUCGAUCGAAGACUUAAUCAA
RNAcentral lists this ribosomal RNA (2377 nucleotides) under Staphylococcus aureus M0975. RNAcentral's name for it is "bacterial LSU rRNA". It matches the Rfam family "Bacterial large subunit ribosomal RNA", at positions 542 to 2925 of the family's 2925-position model. Lineage: Bacteria; Bacillati; Bacillota; Bacilli; Caryophanales; Staphylococcaceae. The record is from RNAcentral.